GCCGAUGUAGCUCAACGGUAGAGCACGGCUUUCGUAAAGCCGGGGUUGUGGGUUCAAGUCCCACCAUCGGCU
This 72-nucleotide transfer RNA is filed under the name Planctomycetes bacterium RBG_13_62_9. Its description in RNAcentral is "tRNA-Thr". It matches the Rfam family "tRNA". From Rfam's summary of the family: Transfer RNA (tRNA) molecules are approximately 80 nucleotides in length. Their secondary structure includes four short double-helical elements and three loops (D, anti-codon, and T loops). RNAcentral also lists the same sequence under 3 other names. Lineage: Bacteria; Pseudomonadati; Planctomycetota. The record is from RNAcentral.